Molecule: ribosomal RNA, 476 nt
Filed under: uncultured bacterium
Lineage: Bacteria
Description: partial 16S ribosomal RNA
Rfam family: Bacterial small subunit ribosomal RNA
Source: RNAcentral
GAUUAACGCUGGCGGCGUGCAUAACACAUGCAAGUCGAACGAUGAAACUUAGUAGACUUCUUCGGAAAGACACUAAGCGGAUUAGUGGCGAACGGGUGAGUAACGCGUGAGUAACCUGCCUUACACAAGGGGAUAGCCUUUGGAAACGAAGAAUAAUACCCUAUAAACCAUAAAAGCACAUGCUAGAAUGGUCAAAGUGAUAGCGGUGUAAGAUGGACUUGCGUCUGAUUAGCUAGUUGGUGAGAUAAAAGCACACCAAGGCAACGAUCAGUAGCCGGCUUGAGAGAGUGUACGGCCACAUUGGGACUGAGACACGGCCCAGACUCCUACGGGAGGCAGCAGGGGGGAAUUUGGCACAAUGGGGGAAACCCUGAUGCAGCGACGCCGCGUGAUUUAGAAGGCCUUCGGGUUGUAAAAAUCUUUUGUAUAGGAAGAAAAUGACAGUACUAUACGAAUAAGGUCCGGCUAAUUACGUG